Molecule: ribosomal RNA, 503 nt
Filed under: uncultured bacterium
Lineage: Bacteria
Description: bacterial SSU rRNA
Rfam family: Bacterial small subunit ribosomal RNA
Source: RNAcentral
GAUGAACGCUAGCGGCAGGCCUAACACAUGCAAGUCGAGGGGCAGCACGAUAAAGCUUGCUUUAUUGGUGGCGACCGGCGCACGGGUGCGUAACGCGUAUGCAACCUACCUUGUACUGGGGGAUAGCCCGGAGAAAUUCGGAUUAACCCCCCAUAGUAUUAUUAGAUCGCAUGGUUUGAUAAUUAAAGGUUACGGUACAAGAUGGGCAUGCGUCCCAUUAGCUAGAUGGUGAGGUAACGGCUCACCAUGGCGACGAUGGGUAGGGGCCUGAGAGGGUGGUCCCCCCACACUGGUACUGAGACACGGACCAGACUCCUACGGGAGGCAGCAGUGAGGAAUAUUGGUCAAUGGGCGCAAGCCUGAACCAGCCAUGCCGCGUGCAGGAAGACGGUCCUAUGGAUUGUAAACUGCUUUUAUUGGGAAUAAACCUCUUUACGUGUAGAGUAGCUAGAAGGUACCAAUGAAUAAGCACCGGCUAACUCCGUGCCAGCAGCCGCGGUAAU